This 253-nucleotide ribosomal RNA is filed under the name uncultured bacterium. RNAcentral describes it as "partial 16S ribosomal RNA". It matches the Rfam family "Bacterial small subunit ribosomal RNA", at positions 524 to 776 of the family's 1533-position model. The record is from RNAcentral.
UAUGAAGGGGGCUAGCGUUGCUCGGAAUCACUGGGCGUAAAGGGUGCGUAGGCGGGUCUUUAAGUCAGGGGUGAAAUCCUGGAGCUCAACUCCAGAACUGCCUUUGAUACUGAAGAUCUUGAGUUCGGGAGAGGUGAGUGGAACUGCGAGUGUAGAGGUGAAAUUCGUAGAUAUUCGCAAGAACACCAGUGGCGAAGGCGGCUCACUGGCCCGAUACUGACGCUGAGGCACGAAAGCGUGGGGAGCAAACAGG